GAUUCCCCUGAAGGGCCGUCGAAGACUACGACGUUGAUAGGCUGGGUGUGUAAGCGUUGUGAGGCGUUGAGCUAACCAGUACUAAUUGCCCGUGAGGCUUGACCAUAUAACACCCAAACA
Molecule: ribosomal RNA, 120 nt
Filed under: Pseudomonas aeruginosa
Lineage: Bacteria; Pseudomonadati; Pseudomonadota; Gammaproteobacteria; Pseudomonadales; Pseudomonadaceae
Description: partial 23S ribosomal RNA
Rfam family: Bacterial large subunit ribosomal RNA (bases 1-106)
Source: RNAcentral